GAGAGAUUAUGAGUAAAUCGUGAAUUUAUACCUGUUACUUAAUUAUCCCUGAUCUCGUAUCGUUCGUUUGGCCAAUAUCUCUAUGUUAGUAGACUGUGUACAAGCAAGAGAGUACCAGUUCAACCUGUUACCUCGUCCAACACACAUCUCGGGACAUUUUUACUUGUGUUUCAACAGUUAACAAUGCAACUUCAAUUGACUUUGCACUCUCCAACUAAAGAGUGCAAUCAAAAUUUCUCCCUCUUAUUCUUUUGACUAAUACUCUACUAACAUAGAGAUAUUGGCCAAACGAACGAUACGAGAUCAGGGAUAAUUAAGUAACAGAUCACUUGAAAAGGGUCCAAAUCCAGGACCGAAACGUCGUUUUUAUAAUAAAUAAAGGCAUUGGCCAGUGUAGGUCGUUUAUGUAAAAUACUCAUCAUUGUUUUGAAUUGCUGGCGAUAUCAUAUUUACCCCAAAGUUAAAUCUGUAUGUUAAAAUUAUGGAAAAAUAAUUGUACUGGAGAAAAGAAAAAAUUUUUAUGCUAAUUUUAUCAUUAAUAAAUUUCUUUUCUAUUUAGACUCAUAUGAUACUGCCCGUAAGAAACUAAAAGAUGCUGAAAUUCACACAGAUAUAUGUACUGACUCUGAAUUAAGAGGGAAAGGAAAACGUCGAAGAAUAGCUAUUCAUAGAUAUGGUUUUGAUACUGAUGAAGAGAAUGACUACAGUUCAAAACAAACAGUAUACGAAGAUAAAAUUAAAUUAUCUAUUCCUAAACCUCCAAAGGAACUAACACAGUUUCAAUUCACUCAAAAAAACAAAGAUGCUACAAGAUCAUAUUUUUCAGAGGAACAGUCAACACAGAAAGACAAACAAAUGGUUUCAACGCAUGAACCAAUAAAAAAAAAGUGGGACUUUCCUAUUGUAGAAUCACUUUCAGAGUCAGAAAAAUCAGACAAGACAGAUAGAAAUGUUGCUCGGUUUCCUUCAAACAUGCAGACAUCAAAAGAGGAAUAAAAAAAAAUCCCUUUGUUGCAAAGUCACAUUUGCUGAAAUUAAAAUAUAUAGAUAAUGCUAGUUCAAGAGUUCAUGUCUUUAGAAAGAAAGAAAAACCAUCUGCCUCUACACCAGCAGCAUUUCUUAAAUCAUUACAUACAUAUAAAAAUACUUCAAGAGUUAGCAACUCAAAAAUGAAAGGCAAAGAUGUUUCUUCUAAAAUAAGCCCACUUCGUGAAUUAAUGGAUAAAAAUACUACUGUCACUUCUAAACAAUCUCAUGAAUCACUCGUACUUCAAUCAAGCUCAAAAUCAGCUUCAGAGAAUGAAUUAUCUUCAUUGGAAGAACUAAACUCCACAAGGAAUAUGUACAAAGUUAAUACUGCAAAUAUAGAACACAAUACUGAUAGAAACUUUGGUAAGUAAUUUCAAUGUAUAUGCAAAUUUU
Molecule: long non-coding RNA, 1422 nt
Organism: Vollenhovia emeryi
Lineage: Eukaryota; Metazoa; Arthropoda; Insecta; Hymenoptera; Formicidae
Exons: 3
Source: RefSeq, a predicted model, not a curated record